Molecule: ribosomal RNA, 459 nt
Filed under: uncultured bacterium
Lineage: Bacteria
Description: partial 16S ribosomal RNA
Rfam family: Bacterial small subunit ribosomal RNA
Source: RNAcentral
CCUACGGGUGGCAGCAGUGAGGAAUAUUGGUCAAUGGCCGAGAGGCUGAACCAGCCAAGUCGCGUGAGGGAUGACGGCCCUACGGGUUGUAAACCUCUUUUGUCGGGGAGCAAAGAGAGUCACGUGUGGCUCAUUGAGAGUACCCGAAGAAAAAGCAUCGGCUAACUCCGUGCCAGCAGCCGCGGUAAUACGGAGGAUGCGAGCGUUAUCCGGAUUUAUUGGGUUUAAAGGGUGCGCAGGCGGAGGUGCAAGUCAGUGGUCCAAUUGCGGGGCUCAACCCCGUACUGCCGUUGAAACUGCAGCCCUUGAGUGCGCGAGAAGUAUGCGGAAUGCGUGGUGUAGCGGUGAAAUGCUUAGAUAUCACGAAGAACCCCGAUGGCGAAGGCAGCUUACUAAACUGUGACUGACAUUGCUGCUCGAAAGUGUGGGUAUCAAACAGGAUUAGAUACCCGUGUAGUC